AAUUAUUAAAACAAUUUGUGUAUAUACCGAUGCAUAACAAUACAUACCAUUGUUUUCAAUGUUAUAUACUGAUGCAUAUAACCAUACAAUACAUUAGUUGUGUGAGUGAGUAUGAGCGAGUGUAUGUGUUUGUGAGUGAGUGAAUGUGUCCAUGUGAGUGUGUGUGUGUUCGUGAGUGUGUCUGUGAGUGUGACCGUGUGUGAGUGACAUAUAUAUUGACAAUAGUAUAAACUGAUAAUAAGUGUAUAUAUACGGUUAUGCACUUUACACAUACACACAUCAAUAUAUACACAGCAUAUAUAUACAGACAUAACGCUCACGCACUCACAUAUAACAUUGUAUUUUUAAUACACAAAUAACUGUAUAUAAAGCUGAUAACUAAUUUUAUGUAAUGAUAAAUGCAUCAGUAAAUAAAUAUACACUGAAAACAAUGGUAUGCAUUGCUAUACAUCAAUACGUACACAAAUUGUGCUAAUAAC
Molecule: long non-coding RNA, 479 nt
Filed under: Amborella trichopoda
Lineage: Eukaryota; Viridiplantae; Streptophyta; Magnoliopsida; Amborellales; Amborellaceae
Description: long non-coding RNA (ATRI_LNC004332)
Source: RNAcentral